Molecule: long non-coding RNA, 95 nt
Filed under: Zonotrichia albicollis (white-throated sparrow)
Lineage: Eukaryota; Metazoa; Chordata; Aves; Passeriformes; Passerellidae
Description: lncRNA (ENSZALG00000016438.1)
Source: RNAcentral
GUGAGGUCAGAUUUCUAUACCUAGGAAAGAGUCAAGGCUUCAGCACAGUAGAAACCCUUCAACAGAAAUCAAUAUUUUUCCUGCUGAGAGGAGCC